UACAGAGGUCUCAAGCGUUGUUCGGAUUCAUUGGGCGUAAAGGGUGCGUAGGUGGCGCGCUAAGUCAGGUGUGAAAUCUCGGGGCUUAACUCCGAAACUGCAUUUGAUACUGGCGUGCUUUGAGGACUGGAGAGGAGACUGGAAUUCAUGGUGUAGCAGUGAAAUGCGUAGAGAUCAUGAGGAAGACCAGUGGCGAAGGCGGGUCUCUGGACAGUUCCUGACACUGAGGCACGAAGGCCAGGGGAGCAAAACGGGG
RNAcentral lists this ribosomal RNA (256 nucleotides) under uncultured bacterium. Its description in RNAcentral is "partial 16S ribosomal RNA". It matches the Rfam family "Bacterial small subunit ribosomal RNA", at positions 524 to 778 of the family's 1533-position model. The record is from RNAcentral.